GUGAAAUUCAAUUUAAUUUGAAUUGAAAUAAUUAUUAAAUAAUUUUUGAAUAAAGUAUUUUUUUUGUUGAUUUAUUUUUAAAGAAAUAAUGAUUUUUAUUAUAUAGAAUUAGUAUAGUGAUAGAAUUUUUUUUUAUUUUUUAAAGAAAAAUUAAUUUUUUGUACCUUGUGUGUCAGGGUUUAUUAAAUAAAAUUUAAAUAGUAAAAUUUCUCGAUUUUAAAAGAGUAAAUUAUUUAUAAAUAUUAUUGUUUCAAAAAUAUUUAAAAUAGAUAAUUGGUAAUGAAAUGUUAUUCGUUUUUAAAUAUAUCUAGUUUUUAAAGAAAAAAAUUUAAUUUUAUUUAUAAAAUUUAUUAUUUUUAUUUUUAAAAAUAUUAAUAUUUUAUAAAUUAAAUUAUUAGGGAUGAGCUUAGUAAUUGACACUUAUAAAUUAAUAAUUAAUAAUUAAAAAUGUAGGAUUAUAAAUUUUUAUCUUUUAAUUUGUUAUAAUUAAUUUAGUUUUUAAAAAAAUUUUUAUUGAUUUUAAUUUUUUUAUUUAAAUAUAAAAUUUAAUAUAUAAUUUUUAGUAAUGAUGAUAAAAUUAGUAUAAUAAAAUAGUAAAUUAUUUAUAGUUUAUAAAAUAAUUAAAAGGAAUUCGGCAAAAAAAAUUUUUCGCCUGUUUAUUAAAAACAUGUCUUUUUGUAGUUAAUUUAAAGUCUAGCCUGCCCAAUGAUUUAUUUAAUGGCCGCAGUAUUUUGACUGUGCAAAGGUAGCAUAAUCAUUAGUUUCUUAAUUAGAAGCUUGUAUGAAAGGUUGAACGAGAAAGUAACUGUCUCUUAAUUAAUUUUUUAAAAAUUUAUAUUUAAGUUAAAAGGCUUAAAUUUAUUUAAAAGACGAGAAGACCCUAUAGAGUUUUAUAUAAAAUUGUAUAAUUAUUUUUUAGAAAUUAAUUAAAUUUAUAAAAAUUUUAUAUUUAAUUGGGGUGAUUAUAAAAUUUGUGAAACUUUUAAAAAUUUAAACAUUUAUAUAUGAAUAUGUGAUCCAUAAAUUAUGAUUAAAAGAAAAAAUUACCUUAGGGAUAACAGCGUAAUUUUUUUUUAGAGUUCUAAUCAAUAAAAAAGUUUGCGACCUCGAUGUUGGAUUAAAAAAAAGUUUUGGUGUAGAAGCUAAAAUUUUAGGUCUGUUCGACCUUUAAAAUUUUACAUGAUCUGAGUUUAAACCGGUGUAAGCCAGGUUGGUUUCUAUCUUUAAAAAUUUAAAAUAUUUUAGUACGAAAGGACCAAUUAUUUAAAAAUAUUUUUAAUAUUGAAAUUUAUUAAGUUAUUAUUUUGGCAGAUUAGUGCAUUAAAUUUAGAAUUUAAUUAUGUAAUUUAAAUUACAAAUAA
Molecule: ribosomal RNA, 1361 nt
Filed under: Dexiogyia corticina
Lineage: Eukaryota; Metazoa; Arthropoda; Insecta; Coleoptera; Staphylinidae
Description: 16S ribosomal RNA
Rfam family: Eukaryotic large subunit ribosomal RNA (bases 1054-1212)
Source: RNAcentral